GUGCCAGCAGCCGCGGUAAUACAGGGGGCUCGAGCGUUAGUCGGAAUCACUGGGCUUAAAGGGUGCGUAGGCGGCCCGCCAAGUGCUUUGUGAAAUCCCCGGGCUCAACCCGGGAACAGCAGGGCAAACUGGCGGGCUUGAAGCAGGUAGGGGCUGGAAGAACAGUUGGUGGAGCGGUGAAAUGCGUAGAUAUCAACUGGAAUGCCGAUGGGGAAGCCGUCCAGCUGGGCCUGUCUUGACGCUGAGGCACGAAAGCGUGGGGAGCAAACAGGAUUAGAAACCCGCGUAGUCC
RNAcentral lists this ribosomal RNA (292 nucleotides) under uncultured bacterium. RNAcentral describes it as "partial 16S ribosomal RNA". It matches the Rfam family "Bacterial small subunit ribosomal RNA", at positions 505 to 796 of the family's 1533-position model. The record is from RNAcentral.